UCAAGCGAACAAGGGCGCAGGGCGAAUGCCUUGGCACUGGGAGCCGAUGAAAGACGUGAUAAGCUGCGAUAAGCUUCGGGGAGCUGCAAAUAAGCAUUGAUCCGGAGAUUUCUGAAUGAGGAAACUCACCUGGGUUCAUACUCAGGUACGUUAUACUGAACUUCAAAAUAGGUAUAUCGAGGGAACCGCCUGAACUGAAACAUCUAAGUAGGGCGAGGAAGAGACAUCAAACGAGAUUCCGUAAGUAGUGGCGAGCGAACGCGGAAGAGGGCAAACCGAGAGUAGAAAUACUUUCGGGGUACGGAGCGCAUUUAGGACUUAAGUUGUUAACCGAACGGCAUGGGAAGGCCGGUCAGAGAGUGUGAGAACCACGUAGGUGAAAACGACAAGAGCCGAGCGAAUUCCAGAGUACGGCCAGACACGUGAAACCUGGUCGGAAUACGGGGGGACCACCCUCCAACCCUAAAUACUACCCAGUGACCGAUAGCGUAUAGUACUGUGAAGGAAAGGUGAAAAGCACCCCGGGAGGGGAGUGAAAAAGAACCUGAAACCCUGUGCCUACAAGCACCUAGAGCACGUCAAUGUGUGAUAGGGUACUUUUUGUAGAACGGUCCGGCGAGCGAUUGUAUGCAGCAAGGUUAAGGACUUAAGGUCUGGAGCCGAAGCGAAAGCGAGUUUGAAAAGGGCGUUAAGUUGCAUAUAAUGGGCCCGAAACCGGGUGACCUACCCAUGGUCAGGUUGAAGUGGAAGUAAAAUUCCAUGGAGGACCGAACCGACCUCCGUUGAAAAGGCGGCGGAUGAACUGUGGGUAGCGGAGAAAUUCCAAUCGAACCCGGAGAUAGCUGGUUCUCCCCGAAAUAGUUUUAGGACUAGCCUCAAGUUAGAUACCUGGAGGUAAAGCACUGAAUAGCCUAGCGGCCGAGAGGUUAGCGAAGCUUAUCAAACUCAGAAUGCCAGAGUAUUGAUGCUUGGGAGUCAGACAGUGUCAGAUAAAUGUCAUUGUCAAAAGGGAAACAGCCCAGAUCUACAGCUAAGGUCCCAAAGUCAGGUUAAGUGGAAAACGAUGUGAAGAUACGUAGACAACCAGGAUGUUGGCUCAGAAGCAGCCACUCAUUCAAAGAGUGCGUAAUAGCUCACUGGUCGAGCGUCUUUGCGCGGAGAAUUUAACGGGGCUAAACCUGACACCGAAGCUUAGGCAAUACAGCAAUGUAUUGGGUAGGGGAGCGUUGUAUACGCGGUGAAACAGUAGCGCAAGCGGCUGUGGAGUGUAUAGAAGUGAGAAUGCCGGAAUGAGUAGCGCGAAUGCAGUGAGAAUCUGCAUGGCCGAAAGCCUCAGGUUUCUGGAGGAAGGUUCGUCCGCUCCAGGUCAGUCGGGAGCUAAGGUGAGGCCUAACGGCGUAGCCGAUGCACAGACGGUAGAGAUUCCGUCACCACCAAAAGAGUUAAACACAGGGACACAUAUGAAGUCUCGGAGCCGGGUGUUGGUUCCGGUAGCGAUCGAGGGAAGUUAGUACCGAAGUCCGGGAUGGAAGAUGGCGAGAAAAGCUGUGUGUAUUUCUGCGGUGCCCGUACCGCAAACCGACACAGGUAGGUAGGAAGAAGAUUCUAAGGCCAACGGGAGAAGGGUUGUUAAGGAACUCGGCAAAUUGACCCCGUAACUUCGGGAGAAGGGGUGCUGCAGCAAUGCAGCCGCAGAGAAUCGGCCCAAGCAACUGUUUACCAAAAACACAGGUUUGUGCUAAAUCGAAAGAUGACGUAUACGAGCUGACGCCUGCCCGGUGCUGGAAGGUUAAGAGGAGAUGUGCAAGCAUUGAAUCGAAGCCCCAGUGAACGGCGGCCGUAACUAUAACGGUCCUAAGGUAGCGAAAUUCCUUGUCAGGUAAG
RNAcentral lists this ribosomal RNA (1884 nucleotides) under human gut metagenome. Its description in RNAcentral is "bacterial LSU rRNA". It matches the Rfam family "Bacterial large subunit ribosomal RNA", at positions 3 to 1980 of the family's 2925-position model. The record is from RNAcentral.